This 440-nucleotide ribosomal RNA is filed under the name uncultured bacterium. Its description in RNAcentral is "partial 16S ribosomal RNA". It matches the Rfam family "Bacterial small subunit ribosomal RNA", at positions 338 to 795 of the family's 1533-position model. The record is from RNAcentral.
CCUACGGGCGGCAGCAGUGAGGAAUAUUGCACAAUGGGGGAAACCCUGAUGCAGCGACGCCGCGUGAGUGAAGAAGUAAUUCGUUAUGUAAAACUCUAUCAGCAGGGAAGAAAAUGACGGUACCUGAGUACGAAGCCCCGGCUAACUACGUACCAGCAGCCGCGGUAAUACGUAGGGGGCCAGCGUUAUCCGGAUUUAAUGGGGGUAAAGGGAGCGUAGGCGGCAGUGCAAGUCUGGAGGGAAAGGCUGGGGCUCCACCCCCGGACUGCUGUGGAAACUGGACGGCUGGAGUGCAGGAGAGGUAAGUGGAAUGCGCAGUGUAGCGGUGAAAUGCGUAGAUAUCAGGAGGAACACCAGUGGCGAAGGCGGCUUACUGGACUGUAACUGACGUUGAGGCUCGAAAGCGUGGGUAGCAAACAGGAUUAGAUACCCGUGUAGUC